Molecule: ribosomal RNA, 253 nt
Filed under: uncultured bacterium
Lineage: Bacteria
Description: partial 16S ribosomal RNA
Rfam family: Archaeal small subunit ribosomal RNA
Source: RNAcentral
UACCAGCACCCCGAGUGGUCGGGCCGAUUAUUGGGCCUAAAGCAUCCGUAGCCGGUCCUACAAGUCUUCCGUUAAAUCCACCUGCUUAACAGAUGGGCUGCGGAAGAUACUAUAGGGCUAGGAGGCGGGAGAGGCAAGCGGUACUCAGUGGGUAGGGGUAAAAUCCUCUGAUCCAUUGAAGACCACCAGUGGCGAAGGCGGCUUGCCAGAACGCGCUCGACGGUGAGGGAUGAAAGCUGGGGGAGCAAACCGG